Molecule: ribosomal RNA, 66 nt
Filed under: Melampodium argophyllum
Lineage: Eukaryota; Viridiplantae; Streptophyta; Magnoliopsida; Asterales; Asteraceae
Source: RNAcentral
GUUAAGCUUUGGACGAGAGUAGUACUAGGAUGGGUGACCCCCUGGGAAGUCCUCGUGUUGCAACCC